Molecule: long non-coding RNA, 417 nt
Filed under: Pan troglodytes (chimpanzee)
Lineage: Eukaryota; Metazoa; Chordata; Mammalia; Primates; Hominidae
Description: long non-coding RNA NONPTRT014840
Source: RNAcentral
UUCCGGUGUGUGUGUGGGGGGGUGGGGGUGGUGAGGCAGGGUGGGGGCGGCAGAUUAGUAGCUUCUGUGGAGUAAUUCUUUCUUUCUUUAGCUUUUUGAGAUGGGGGUCUCACUAUGUUACCCAGGAAGGCCUUGAACUCCUGGGCUCAAGUGAUCCUCCCACUUCAGCCUCCUCAGUAGAAGAUUCCAGUAUUCUUAUCUUCACUGUUGAGUGCUUUUUCUUUUAAAAAUUGCAAAACAAACAACAAAUUACACCCUACUCCUAGUGGGGUAACCUCUGAUAUGGUUUGGUUGUGUCCCCACACAAAUCUCAUCUUGAAUUGUAUCUCCCAUAAUUCCCACGUGUUGUGGGAGGAACCCCAGUCAAACUCCCCACCUAGCACUGUCCCCAGUCCCCUGACUCAUCCCUGCAAGGGG